RNAcentral lists this transfer RNA (72 nucleotides) under Bos taurus (domestic cattle). It matches the Rfam family "tRNA". Rfam says of the family: Transfer RNA (tRNA) molecules are approximately 80 nucleotides in length. Their secondary structure includes four short double-helical elements and three loops (D, anti-codon, and T loops). Further hydrogen bonds mediate the characteristic L-shaped molecular structure. tRNAs have two regions of fundamental functional importance: the anti-codon, which is responsible for specific mRNA codon recognition, and the 3' end, to which the tRNAs corresponding amino acid is attached (by aminoacyl-tRNA synthetases). tRNAs cope with the degeneracy of the genetic code in two manners: having more than one tRNA (with a specific anti-codon) for a particular amino acid; and 'wobble' base-pairing, i.e. permitting non-standard base-pairing at the 3rd anti-codon position. RNAcentral also lists the same sequence under 4 other names. Lineage: Eukaryota; Metazoa; Chordata; Mammalia; Artiodactyla; Bovidae. The record is from Rfam by way of RNAcentral.
UCCCUGGUAGCUCAGAUGGUAAAGCAUCUGCCUACAAUUCAGGAGACCCAGGUUCAAACCCUGGGUGGGGGU